CAAAUCUAGGCAUAUCAUAAGCGGAGGAAUCACUAGUGAAUCGCGGCCGCCUGCCGACCAUUGGGAAUCCACGUUGAGCAGCUUUUCCACCUAAGCGAU
Molecule: ribosomal RNA, 99 nt
Filed under: Cortinarius sp. 1_51
Lineage: Eukaryota; Fungi; Basidiomycota; Agaricomycetes; Agaricales; Cortinariaceae
Description: partial 28S ribosomal RNA
Source: RNAcentral